This 253-nucleotide ribosomal RNA is filed under the name uncultured bacterium. RNAcentral's name for it is "partial 16S ribosomal RNA". It matches the Rfam family "Bacterial small subunit ribosomal RNA", at positions 524 to 776 of the family's 1533-position model. The record is from RNAcentral.
UACGUAGGGUGCAAGCGUUAAUCGGAAUUACUGGGCGUAAAGCGUGCGCAGGCGGUGAUGUAAGACAGAUGUGAAAUCCCCGGGCUCAACCUGGGAACUGCAUUUGUGACUGCAUCGCUGGAGUGCGGCAGAGGGGGAUGGAAUUCCGCGUGUAGCAGUGAAAUGCGUAGAUAUGCGGAGGAACACCGAUGGCGAAGGCAAUACCCUGGGCCUGCACUGACGCUCAUGCCCGCAAGCGUGGGGAGCAAACAGG